AAUAAUGGGAGACUUUAACAACCCACUGUCAACAUUAGACAGAUCAAAGAGACAGAAAGUUAACAAGGAUAUCCAGGAAUUGAACUCAGCUCUGCACCAAGUGGACCUAAUAGACAUCUACAGAACUCUCCACCCCAAAUCAACCGAAUAUACAAUCUUCUCAGCACCACACAGCACUUAUUCCAAAAUUGACCACAUAGUUGGAAGUAAAGCACUCCUCAGCAAAUGUAAAAGAACAGAAAUUAUAACAAACUGUCUCUCAGACCACAGUGCAAUCAAACUAGAACUCAGGAUUAAGAAACUCACUCAAAACUGCUCAACUACAUGGAAACUGAACAACCUGCUCCUGAAUGACUACUGGGUAAAUAAUGAAAUGAAGGCAGGAAUAAAGAUGUUCUUUGAAACCAACAAGAACAAAGACAUAACAUCCUAGAAUCUCUGGGACACAUUCAAAGCAGUGUGUAGAGGGAAAUUUAUAGCACUAAAUGCCCACAAGAGAAAGCAGGAAAGAUCUCUAAAAAGCAAACCAGAUGUAAACUAUGGACUUUAGUUAAUAAUAAUGUAUCAAAAUUGGUUCAUCAACCAUAACAAAUGUAUCACAUUAAUGCAAAAUGUUAAUAACAGGGGAAGCUUUAUGCGGGAAUGGGGGGACUGCACUAAUGGGAGCUCUGUAAUUUCUGUUCAAUUUUUCUGUGAACCUAAAACUUCUCUAAAAAAUAGUCUAUUAAUUAUUAAAUGAAGCAACAUCAAGAUGAAAUUGUGACCUGAAAGCAAAACCAGAGUGCAAUACAAAGGUAGCUUUUGUCUUGCUGGCCAGGCUAUAAGAUUUAAUAGAAUUUAGAAAACAGGAAGGGAAGAGAGGAUUAAGUGUGGCCAGAGAAGAAGACAGGAGGUACUUUUAAAAGAAAAUUAUGGUAAACAAGUGAAAUACAGCAACAGAGAAAGACAGUAGGUCAAUACUAGUAAAGCUAAGAACCUGAAACAACUGCCACUGAAAAAAGAUCUUACGAAUUUGCAAAGCAUUUUCUCCAUAUUGUACAAUAUAAUUCUGUCCUCUGUUCCCCUUUAGAACUGUGAUUAUUCUCUAUCUUUAAAAUGUUGGUCAUUCCUAAUGGGUAUGUAGAACUCCUUUUCUGCAAACUUCUUGGCAAAAUUCAGGUCAAGAGGGAUUUGGUUGGGUUGAGUAAUUUUCUAAGAGGAUCAUUUUCAUGGAUGGGAAAUUCAUUCUGAGGAUAUAAUAAGUACUCCAAAAGAAAAUAUUUUAAAUUUAUAUUUUUAAAAAGAAAAUCGACCCUUUUCAGUGUUAAUGUCUCUAUAUUAGGGUUGCAUAUACUUACAGAUAAAGAUAAUUCUUCAUGUUCAUGCUUUACA
Molecule: long non-coding RNA, 1371 nt
Filed under: Homo sapiens (human)
Lineage: Eukaryota; Metazoa; Chordata; Mammalia; Primates; Hominidae
Description: non-protein coding lnc-EPC1-4:1
Source: RNAcentral